RNAcentral lists this ribosomal RNA (447 nucleotides) under uncultured bacterium. RNAcentral's name for it is "partial 16S ribosomal RNA". It matches the Rfam family "Bacterial small subunit ribosomal RNA", at positions 29 to 523 of the family's 1533-position model. The record is from RNAcentral.
AGCGAACGCUGGCGGCAGGCCUAACACAUGCAAGUCGAGCGCCCCGCAAGGGGAGCGGCAGACGGGAGAGUAACACGUGGGAACGUACCCUUCGGUUCGGAACAACCCAGGGAAACUUGGGCUAAUACCGGAUACGUCCGAAAGGAGAAAGAUUUAUCGCCGAAGGAUCGGCCCGCGUCUGAUUAGCUAGUUGGUGGGGUAAUGGCUCACCAAGGCGACGAUCAGUAGCUGGUCUGAGAGGAUGAUCAGCCUCACUGGGACUGAGACACGGCCCAGACUCCUACGGGAGGCAGGUGUGGGGAAUGUUGGACAAUGGCCGCAAACCUGAUCCAGCCAUGCCGCGUGGGUGAUGAAGGCCCUAGGGUUGUAAAGCCCUUUCGGCGGGGAAGAUAAUGACGGUACCCGCAGAAGAAGCCCCGGCUAACUUCGUGCCAGCCGCCGCCGUAA